This 431-nucleotide ribosomal RNA is filed under the name uncultured bacterium. RNAcentral describes it as "partial 16S ribosomal RNA". It matches the Rfam family "Bacterial small subunit ribosomal RNA", at positions 29 to 507 of the family's 1533-position model. The record is from RNAcentral.
AACGAACGCUGGCGGCAUGCCUAACACAUGCAAGUCGAACGAGACCUUCGGGUCUAGUGGCGCACGGGUGCGUAACGCGUGGGAACCUGCCUUUAGGUUCGGAAUAACUCAGAGAAAUUUGAGCUAAUACCGGAUGAUGUCUUCGGACCAAAGAUUUAUCGCCUUUAGAUGGGCCCGCGUUGGAUUAGCUAGUUGGUGGGGUAAAGGCCUACCAAGGCGACGAUCCAGCUGGUCUGAGAGGAUGAUCAGCCACACUGGGACUGAGACACGGCCCAGACUCCUACGGGAGGCAGCAGUGGGGAAUAUUGGACAAUGGGCGAAAGCCUGAUCCAGCAAUGCCGCGUGAGUGAUGAAGGCCUUAGGGUUGUAAAGCUCUUUUACCCGAGAUGAUAAUGACAGUAUCGGGAGAAUAAGCUCCGGCUAACUCCGUG